AUUGUAAAUUUGGACUGCGGACGAUAUAAACGGGACGGGCCAAAUGCGGGUUGGGCCUUUCGGUAGUGCGGGACAUCCAUGAGACCGCAACAGAGCUUCACUUUUGUCUCUUUCACCACCGGAGCUUCUGGCGCUUCUAUUCUCUUCGGUUUCCUCCAUGCUCUGCUCUGUGUCUUCUCCGCUAAAGUUCUCGCCGCUUCCUUCUCCUUCUGGAUAGGCAGUUUAAGCUUUAGAUUGUGUCCGGUGGUAUCUCUUUGUCUUCGAUCUGCGGCAGAGGCUGAACCGACAACAAAGUUGAGCAUGCAUGUACACAAGACUUGUUCAAGGUCGUUUAGGGGUUACUAUUGAGAAAGAAGAUGAAAUGCAUUGCCUUGUUUCUGGAGCAAAUUUUUUGCUCAAGGCUAUUCGACAUGAAGCCUUCACAAACACGGAGAGUGAGAAAGAAUUUGUACAGAUAGAUCCCAAUGACCUGUAUCCAGAGCAGUGGCUUGAGCUGUAGCAUGAGUCAUAUUGUAUUGUUCUUGUAUAAUGAUAUGUUUGUUGAUGUUCUUGUUUUGACCAGUAGAAAAUAUUUUUUUUAAUUAAAAAUUAAUUGACCAAUAAGAAAUUAUUGUUAGA
Molecule: long non-coding RNA, 618 nt
Organism: Brassica napus (rape)
Lineage: Eukaryota; Viridiplantae; Streptophyta; Magnoliopsida; Brassicales; Brassicaceae
Exons: 3
Source: RefSeq, a predicted model, not a curated record